CAGAGGGUGCAAACGUUGUUCGGAUUUACUGGGCGUAAAGCGCGUGUAGGCGGCUUUGCAAGUCGGAUGUGAAAGCCCACGGCUCAACCGUGGAAGUGCAUCCGAAACUGCAUGGCUUGAGUCUCGGAGAGGAAGGUGGAAUGCUUGGUGUAGAGGUGAAAUUCGUAGAUAUCAAGCAGAACACCUGCGGCGAAGGCGGCCUUCUGGACGAUGACUGACGCUGAGACGCGAAAGCGUGGGGAGCAAACAGGAUUAGAUACCCUGGUAGUCCACGCCGUAAACGAUGAGUGCUAGGUGUCACGGGCUUUGACCCUCGUGGUGCCGUAGCUAACGCAAUAAGCACUCCGCCUGGGGAGUACGGCCGCAAGGCUA
Molecule: ribosomal RNA, 372 nt
Filed under: uncultured organism
Description: bacterial SSU rRNA
Rfam family: Bacterial small subunit ribosomal RNA
Source: RNAcentral